This 348-nucleotide ribosomal RNA is filed under the name uncultured bacterium. RNAcentral describes it as "partial 16S ribosomal RNA". It matches the Rfam family "Bacterial small subunit ribosomal RNA", at positions 338 to 703 of the family's 1533-position model. The record is from RNAcentral.
CCUACGGGGGGCAGCAGUGGGGGAUAUUGCACAAUGGGGGAAACCCUGAUGCAGGGACGCCGCGUGGAGGAAGAAGGUCCGCUGGAUGGUAAACUACUGUCCCCAGGGACGAAGAUGAAGGGACCGGGGGAGGAAGCGCCGGCUAACUAAGUGGCAGCAGCCGCGGUAAUACGGAGGGAGCGAGCGUGGUCCGGAAUUACGGGGUGGAAAGGGAGCGGAGGCGGGGAUGCAAGGUGGGUGUUAAAUCUACCGGCUCAACUGGUAGUCGCACUCCAAACUGCAGCUCUUGAGUGAAGUAGAGGCAGGCGGUAUUCCUCGUGUCGCGGUGCCAUGCGUCGAUCUUAGGCG